CCUUUCUCCUUUCUCCUGUGUUAGCCUGGACAGAGGUUCGUCAAUUUUAUUACUCUUUCAGAAAACCAGCUCUUGGUUUGAUUGAUUUUUUUCUA
Vicugna pacos (alpaca) is the source of this 95-nucleotide non-coding RNA. NCBI's taxonomy places the organism in Eukaryota, Metazoa, Chordata, Mammalia, Artiodactyla, Camelidae. The record is from RefSeq and is a predicted model, not a curated record.